UACGUAGGUGACAAGCGUUGUCCGGAUUUACUGGGCGUAAAGAGCGCGCAGGCGGUCGAUCAAGUCGAGUGUGAAAGCCCCCGGCUCAACUGGGGAGGGUCAUUCGAUACUGAUCGACUCGAAGGCAGGAGAGGGUAGUGGAAUUCCCGGUGUAGUGGUGAAAUGCGUAGAUAUCGGGAGGAACACUAGUGGCGAAGGCGAGACUCUGGACAGUUCCUGACGCUGAGGCACGAAGGCCAGGGGAGCAAACGGG
RNAcentral lists this ribosomal RNA (253 nucleotides) under uncultured bacterium. Its description in RNAcentral is "partial 16S ribosomal RNA". It matches the Rfam family "Bacterial small subunit ribosomal RNA", at positions 524 to 776 of the family's 1533-position model. The record is from RNAcentral.